This 253-nucleotide ribosomal RNA is filed under the name uncultured bacterium. RNAcentral describes it as "partial 16S ribosomal RNA". It matches the Rfam family "Bacterial small subunit ribosomal RNA", at positions 524 to 776 of the family's 1533-position model. The record is from RNAcentral.
UACGUAGGGUGCAAGCGUUGUCCGGAAUUAUUGGGCGUAAAGAGCUCGUAGGCGGUUUGUCGCGUCUGCUGUGAAAACCCGAGGCUCAACCUCGGGCCUGCAGUGGGUACGGGCAGACUAGAGUGCGGUAGGGGAGAUUGGAAUUCCUGGUGUAGCGGUGGAAUGCGCAGAUAUCAGGAGGAACACCGAUGGCGAAGGCAGGUCUCUGGGCCGCAACUGACGCUGAGGAGCGAAAGCAUGGGGAGCGAACAGG